UAAGGAAUAUUGCGCAAUGGACGAAAGUCUGACGCAGCGACGCCGCGUGGGGGAUGAAGGUCUUCGGAUUGUAAACCCCUUUCGGGAGGGAAGAUGGAGUGGGUAACCACUUGGACGGUACCUCCAGAAGCAGCCACGGCUAACUUCGUGCCAGCAGCCGCGGUAAUACGAAGGUGGCAAGCGUUGUUCGGAUUCACUGGGCGUACAGGGAGCGUAGGCGGUUGGGUAAGCCCUCCGUGAAAUCUCCGGGCCUAACCCGGAAAGUGCAGAGGGGACUGCUCAGCUAGAGGAUGGGAGAGGAGCGCGGAAUUCCCGGUGUAGCGGUGAAAUGCGUAGAGAUCGGGAGGAAGGCCGGUGGCGAAGGCGGCGCUCUGGACGGCAACUGACGCUGAGGCACGAAAGCGUGGGGAGCAAACAGGAUUAGAUACCCAAGUAGUCCCUGAGCGGGCUGGCAAGGCGCAU
RNAcentral lists this ribosomal RNA (462 nucleotides) under uncultured bacterium. RNAcentral's name for it is "bacterial SSU rRNA". It matches the Rfam family "Bacterial small subunit ribosomal RNA", at positions 355 to 825 of the family's 1533-position model. The record is from RNAcentral.